GAGUUUGAUCCUGGCUCACGAUUGAACGCUGGCGGCAGGCCUAACACAUGCAAGUCGAGCGGUAGAGAGAAGCUUGCUUCUCUUGAGAGCGGCGGACGGGUGAGUAAUGCCUAGGAAUCUGCCUGGUAGUGGGGGAUAACGCUCGGAAACGGACGCUAAUACCGCAUACGUCCUACGGGAGAAAGCAGGGGACCUUCGGGCCUUGCGCUAUCAGAUGAGCCUAGGUCGGAUUAGCUAGUUGGUGAGGUAAUGGCUCACCAAAGGCGACGAUCCGUAACUGGUCUGAGAGGAUGAUCAGUCACACUGGAACUGAGACACGGUCCAGACU
Molecule: ribosomal RNA, 328 nt
Filed under: uncultured bacterium
Lineage: Bacteria
Description: bacterial SSU rRNA
Rfam family: Bacterial small subunit ribosomal RNA
Source: RNAcentral